CCCAGUGACAGCCAAAAGACCUCUGCGAGGAGCCAGGAAAAGAAACCCCACCCAGACGGCAGGUGAGAUGGCUCAAUGCGUGCUUGCCAAGCCUGGCUACUUGAAUUUGAUCCCCUGGCCCCACAUGCUGGAAGGGGGGAAUGGAGUCCUGCACACUGUCCUCUGACUUCCACAUGCAUGUGCGUACCCCUGUUCCCCGUACAUACCCACACACAAUGCAAAGAAAAAUGUAAUUGAGAAAGCAGGUCAGGUCGUGCAGCCAGCAUGAGGGAAUUACCUGGCUCUUCCAUGGUUUCCUCACAGGAUAGCCACAUGCCACUGCGGAAGGCAAGGAAGGAGAACCGGUCAUCCCCAGUCUCCCAGGUGUAUUGUACCACCUCCUGGGCUGAUGUGUUGGCGAUGCCCCCAUCCAAGGACAUCGGCAUGUCAAAGCACUUGGCUGCCAGACUUUGCCCGCACAGGGGCUUGGGCACCUUCUGUGUGCCCACAAACCACUCGCUGCUGAGCAAGGAUGCUGUGGAGAGGCCGAGUGAUAACAUGUUGAGGAUGGCAGAAAUGAAGGUCCGCUGGUCAGAGGAACCCUUCUGGAACUCCAUCUGCAACACACAAGCAGGCGGGGAGGACACAGAUCUGAGGAGUGCGCUCCCUGGACCCCACUCACUCCUCUUCAACACGGAUGGGCAAAGCCUGACACUUGAGCGUUUUCUCCAGGAGGCCCCGUAGAAGCCAUGCUUCUAUGUGGCCAGGAGCAAGGGCUGUAGUGAUGAUCCUCAUCAAACUGGGACCCUGUGUCACUCCUGCUCUGCAGGAGUGAUUUUCAUAGGCAGAGUGAUGGCUGGAUAGACACUGGACAGGUUUACAGAGGGAUGAAGGUGAUACCAGAUGGGAGACAUUCUGAUGGGGAACUCUAAAGUCAGCGCAAAUUGGAUGUGAGCAGGGCUUUAGGAAGCAGGAGAGUUUGCCUGGCUUCCAGCUGGCAAGCCCUAGGGAAUGUGUGUAAGUGCGCUUGGGCAGAAGACUUCCUCGGGACCCCACUGAGGGUAUGUAUGCUCAGGCAAAGGCAGCAAGGGAACAAGGGCGGCUCAUUGUGAAUGCUCUGAGCUGUCAGCCUCCUUUUGUGUAAUUUUUUAAUAAUAAAUUGUUCAUGUAUGUAAAGUA
Molecule: long non-coding RNA, 1158 nt
Organism: Mus musculus (house mouse)
Lineage: Eukaryota; Metazoa; Chordata; Mammalia; Rodentia; Muridae
Product: predicted gene, 57750
Exons: 2
Source: RefSeq, a predicted model, not a curated record